RNAcentral lists this ribosomal RNA (429 nucleotides) under Gemmatimonadota bacterium. RNAcentral's name for it is "Gemmatimonadetes bacterium partial 16S ribosomal RNA". It matches the Rfam family "Bacterial small subunit ribosomal RNA", at positions 355 to 776 of the family's 1533-position model. The record is from RNAcentral. Lineage: Bacteria; Pseudomonadati; Gemmatimonadota.
UAGGGAAUCUUCGGCAAUGGACGAAAGUCUGACCGAGCAACGCCGCGUGAGUGAAGAAGGUUUUCGGAUCGUAAAACUCUGUUGUUAGAGAAGAACAAGGACGUUAGUAACUGAACGUCCCCUGACGGUAUCUAACCAGAAAGCCACGGCUAACUACGUGCCAGCAGCCGCGGUAAUACGUAGGUGGCAAGCGUUGUCCGGAUUUAUUGGGCGUAAAGCGAGCGCAGGCGGUUUCUUAAGUCUGAUGUGAAAGCCCCCGGCUCAACCGGGGAGGGUCAUUGGAAACUGGGAGACUUGAGUGCAGAAGAGGAGAGUGGAAUUCCAUGUGUAGCGGUGAAAUGCGUAGAUAUAUGGAGGAACACCAGUGGCGAAGGCGGCUCUCUGGUCUGUAACUGAGGCUGAGGCUCGAAAGCGUGGGGAGCAAACAGG